Long non-coding RNA from Coregonus clupeaformis (lake whitefish), 440 nucleotides. RefSeq lists it as uncharacterized. The record is from RefSeq and is a predicted model, not a curated record. NCBI's taxonomy places the organism in Eukaryota, Metazoa, Chordata, Actinopteri, Salmoniformes, Salmonidae. The transcript has 4 exons.
UUGGAGCCAACAGGAAGUCCUGGUGUUUAUUCUGCUCUGAUAGCCUCUAUUUAUUUUACCAUUCUGGAGUCAGCAGAUGCAUCCCUGGUCCUGUUUCUAAGAGAGUUGGAGUGUAUCUGGACUGGCCAGCUGGUACUUUGUCCUUCUAUAGUGUGUCCUCCUCUGGUACACUGACACACCUUUACACAGAACACACCACAUUCACUGAACCCCUCUAUCCUGGGUUUGGGUUGAGCGUUUUCUCUUCCUCAGUGACCCUGUGUCAGAUAGAUGAUCAACACAAUCAAAGCAGAGACCAUGGUGGAGAGUGUUGUAUCAAGCCUGGACCUGAGAAAUGGAUUCCUCAGAGCUGUAAGACUUGUGACCAUGUUGAGGACUCCACACACUGGCUUCAGAUUGAACCCUUGACUUCCACUGUCCAGGGAGUGACAAUCUUCAGG